GAUGAACGCUGGCGGCGUGCCUAAUACAUGCAAGUCGAGCGAACAGACGAGGAGCUUGCUCCUCUGACGUUAGCGGCGGACGGGUGAGUAACACGUGGAUAACCUACCUAUAAGACUGGGAUAACUUCGGGAAACCGGAGCUAAUACCGGAUAAUAUAUUGAACCGCAUGGUUCAAUAGUGAAAGACGGUUUUGCUGUCACUUAUAGAUGGAUCCGCGCCGCAUUAGCUAGUUGGUAAGGUAACGGCUUACCAAGGCGACGAUGCGUAGCCGACCUGAGAGGGUGAUCGGCCACACUGGAACUGAGACACGGUACAGACUACUACGGGAGGCAGCAGUAGGGAAUCUUCCGCAAUGGGCGAAAGCCUGACGGAGCAACGCCGCGUGAGUGAUGAAGGUCUUCGGAUAGUAAAACUCUGUUAUUAGGGAAGAACAAAUGUGUAAGUAACUAUGCACGUCUUGACGGUACCUAAUCAGAAAGCCACGGCUAACUACGUG
RNAcentral lists this ribosomal RNA (497 nucleotides) under uncultured bacterium. RNAcentral describes it as "partial 16S ribosomal RNA". It matches the Rfam family "Bacterial small subunit ribosomal RNA", at positions 28 to 507 of the family's 1533-position model. The record is from RNAcentral.